CUCCCACCCUUGAAUACCUUACCUUUGUUGCUUUGGCGGGCCACGUCCGCGUGCCGGCUUCGGCUGGUUGCGCCCGCCAGAGGACCCAAACUCGUUUGUUUAGUGAUGUCUGAGUACUAUAUAAUAGUUAAAACUUUCAACAACGGAUCUCUUGGUUCUGGCAUCGAUGAAGAACGCAGCGAAAUGCGAUAAGUAAUGUGAAUUGCAGAAUUCAGUGAAUCAUCGAAUCUUUGAACGCACAUUGCGCCCCUUGGUAUUCCGAGGGGCAUGCCUGUUCGAGCGUCAUUAUGACCACUCAAGCCUGGCUUGGUGUUGGGGUCCGCGGUCCCGCGGCCCUUAAAAUCAGUGGCGGCGCCAUCUGGCUCUCAGCGUAGUAAUACUCCUCGCUACAGGGUCCCGGUGGCUGCUUGCCAGCAACCCCCCAUCUCACGGUUGACCUCGGAUCAGGUAGGGAUACCCGCUGAACUUAAGCAUAUCAAUAAG
Molecule: unclassified non-coding RNA, 483 nt
Filed under: Eupezizella aureliella
Lineage: Eukaryota; Fungi; Ascomycota; Leotiomycetes; Helotiales; Hyaloscyphaceae
Description: Hyaloscypha aureliella partial contains ITS1, 5.8S rRNA and ITS2
Rfam family: 5.8S ribosomal RNA (bases 132-285)
Source: RNAcentral